GAUGAACGCUGGCGGCGUGCCUAAUACAUGCAAGUCGAGCGAAGCGGGGACGGGUGAUUAACACGUUGAUAACCUCCUAUAAGACUGGCAUAACUUCUGGAAACCGUAGCUAUACCCGAUACUUAUAGAUGGAUCCGCGCUGCAUUAGCUACUUGGUAAGGUAACGGCUUACCAAGGCAACGCUGCAUAGCAGACCUGAGAAGGUGAUCGGCCAAACUGGAACUGAGUCACGGGACAGAGUCAUACGGGAGGAAGCAGUAGGGAAUCUUCCGGAAUGGGCGAAAGCCUGAAGGAGCGACGCAGCUUGAGUGAUGAAGGUAUUAGGAUCGUAAAACUCUGUUAUUAGGGAAGCGGGACCUAAUCAGAAAGCCACGGCUAAAUCCUUGCCAGCAGCCGCGGUAUAC
This 404-nucleotide ribosomal RNA is filed under the name uncultured bacterium. Its description in RNAcentral is "partial 16S ribosomal RNA". It matches the Rfam family "Bacterial small subunit ribosomal RNA", at positions 28 to 525 of the family's 1533-position model. The record is from RNAcentral.